Molecule: ribosomal RNA, 487 nt
Filed under: uncultured bacterium
Lineage: Bacteria
Description: SSU rRNA
Rfam family: Bacterial small subunit ribosomal RNA
Source: RNAcentral
AGGAUAAACGCUGGCGGCGUGCCUAACACAUGCAAGUCGAACGCGCUUACUAUCCGCGAGGAGGGUGAGCGAGUGGCGGACGGGUGAGGAACACGUGGGUGACCUACCUUUCAGUGAGGGAUACCGGCGAAAAAUUGCCGACAAGACCGCAUACGCUUCUCUUUUCAAGGGGAGAAGGAAAGCUUUUCGCAAGAGAGGCGCUGGGAGAUGGGCCUGCGGCCGAUUAGCUAGCUGGUGGGGUAAUGGCCUACCAGGGCGACGAUCGGUAGCUGGUCUGAGAGGACGAUCAGCCACACUGGGAUUGAGAACGGCCCAGACUCCUACGGGGGGCAGCAGUGAGGAAUUUUCGGCAAUGGGGGCAACCCUGACCGAGCAACGCCGCGUGCAGGACGACGGCCUUCGGGUUGUAAACUGCUUUUCUCUGGGACGAGCAAGGACGGUACCAGAGGAAGAAGCCCGGCUAACUACGCGCCAGCAGCCGCGGUAA